AGCGAACGCUGGCGGCAGGCUUAACACAUGCAAGUCGAGCGGGCAUCCUUGUGGUGUCAGCGGCAGACGGGUGAGUAACGCGUGGGAACGUGCCCUUCGGUUCGGAAUAACUCAGGGAAACUUGAGCUAAUACCGGAUACGUGCGAGAGCAGAAAGGUUUAUCUGCCGAAGGAUCGGCCCGCGUCUGAUUAGCUAGUUGGUGAGGUUAUGGCUCACCAAGGCCACGAUCAGUAGCUGGUCUGAGAGGAUGAUCAGCCACACUGGGACUGAGACACGGCCCAGACUCCUACGGGAGGCAGCAGUGGGGAAUAUUGGACAAUGGGGGCAACCCUGAUCCAGCCAUGCCGCGUGAGUGAUGACGGCCUUAGGGUUGUAAAGCUCUUUUCUCCGGGACGAUAAUGACGGUACCGGAGGAAUAAGCCCCGGCUAACUUCGUG
RNAcentral lists this ribosomal RNA (437 nucleotides) under uncultured bacterium. RNAcentral describes it as "partial 16S ribosomal RNA". It matches the Rfam family "Bacterial small subunit ribosomal RNA", at positions 29 to 507 of the family's 1533-position model. The record is from RNAcentral.